GAUGAACGCUGGCUACAGGCUUAACACAUGCAAGUCGUGGGGAAACGGCAUUAUGUGCUUGCACAUUCUGGACGUCGACCGGCGCACGGGUGAGUAUCGCGUAUCCAACCUGCCCCUUACUUGGGGAUACCCCGUUGAAAGACGGCCUAAUACCCGAUGUGUUUCAUUGACGGCAUCCGAUAUGAAACAAAGGUUUUCCGGUAAGGGAUGGGGAUGCGUCUGAUUAGCUUGUUGGCGGGGCAACGGCCCACCAAGGCGACGAUCAGUAGGGGUUCUGAGAGGAAGGUCCCCCACAUUGGAACUGAGACACGGUCCAAACUCCUACGGGAGGCAGCAGUGAGGAAUAUUGGUCAAUGGACGCAAGUCUGAACCAGCCAAGUAGCGUGCAGGAUGACGGCCCUAUGGGUUGUAAACUGCUUUUAUGUGGGAAUAAAGUGGCGCACGUGUGCGCCAUUGCAUGUACCUCAUGAAUAAGGACCGGCUAAUUCCGUGCCAGCAGCCGCGGUAAUACGGAAGGUCCGGGCGUUAUCCGGAUUUAUUGGGUUUAAAGGGAGUGUAGGCGGUCUGUUAAGCGUGUUGUGAAAUUUAGGUGCUCAACAUUUAACUUGCAGCGCGAACUGUCAGACUUGAGUACACGCAGCGCAGGCGGAAUUCAUGGUGUAGCGGUGAAAUGCUUAGAUAUCAUGAGGAACUCCGAUCGCGAAGGCAGCCUGCGGGAGUGUCACUGACGCUUAAGCUCGAAGGUGCGGGUAUCGAACAGG
RNAcentral lists this ribosomal RNA (761 nucleotides) under Prevotella nigrescens. RNAcentral describes it as "bacterial SSU rRNA". It matches the Rfam family "Bacterial small subunit ribosomal RNA", at positions 28 to 776 of the family's 1533-position model. Lineage: Bacteria; Pseudomonadati; Bacteroidota; Bacteroidia; Bacteroidales; Prevotellaceae. The record is from RNAcentral.